This 465-nucleotide ribosomal RNA is filed under the name uncultured bacterium. RNAcentral's name for it is "partial 16S ribosomal RNA". It matches the Rfam family "Bacterial small subunit ribosomal RNA", at positions 28 to 507 of the family's 1533-position model. The record is from RNAcentral.
GACGAACGCUGGCGGCGUGCUUAACACAUGCAAGUCGAACGGAAAGGCCCCUUCGGGGGUACUCGAGUGGCGAACGGGUGAGUAACACGUGAGUAACCUGCCCUUGCCUUCGGGAUAACUUCAGGAAACUGGGGCUAAUACCGGAUAGGAAUCCUUGCUGCAUGGUGGGGGUUGGAAAGCUUCGGCGGUUUUGGAUGGACUCGCGGCUUAUCAGCUUGUUGGUGGGGUAGUGGCUUACCAAGGCUUUGACGGGUAGCCGGCCUGAGAGGGCGACCGGCCACAUUGGGACUUAGGUGCGGCCCAGACUCCGACGGGAGGCAGCAGGGGGGAAGAUUGCACGAUGGGCGGAAGCCGGAUGCAGCAAGGCCGCGUGCGGGAUGACGGCCUUCUGGUUGUAAACCGCUUUCAGCAGGGGCGAAGCUUGUGGUGACGGUACCUGCAGAAGAAGCACCGGCUAACUACGUG